Molecule: RNA transcript, 3881 nt
Organism: Canis lupus familiaris (dog)
Lineage: Eukaryota; Metazoa; Chordata; Mammalia; Carnivora; Canidae
Gene: STX3
Gene name: syntaxin 3
Exons: 11
Source: RefSeq, a predicted model, not a curated record
CUCGGCCACCGUCCGAUGGCCGCACGCCUUGAUGCGCCGAUAACGGUGCUGAAGGCCUUGUCUGGGCUCCCGCCGGGUCGUCCCCACAGCCCGGCCAGGACAAGGACAGUCUGGCUGUGUCAGGAGGGACCGGGGUCUCCCUGGGACCAGUUAGUCCCCCCGCGGGAGAAGCCGGUGGGAGUCCCGCCGCCCGGCCGUGACCCGUGAUGAUGGCCUCCCUCGGGUCCCGCCCUGGGACUGAUGGGACCGGAGCGCGCGCUGCCUGUCGUUGAUGUUACUUUACUUUUUCGGAAGCGCCGCAGCCGUGGGAUCGACGCCGCGGGGGAGGCGGGAUGGGGCCCCGGAGUCACAAUCCACGCCGUGUCCGUCUGUCGCUUGGCUCCAGGCCUUGGCCGUGCGCCUCUCCAGGUGGGAGACCCUGGGCACACCCAACCCUCAUAGAGAAGUGGCCGCGCCUCCUGGGUAGUGCUCGGGGCCUUAGAGAUCCGACUGGUGCGCCCCAAGCCCGGGGGCACCCUUGUUCCCACUGGGCAGGCAGGGAAGUCGGGGCUCAGAGACGCGGCCCGGUGGCCCGGCGGGUGGGCCUGCUGAUGGAGCCUCACGGUCCUGGCUCUGCGUGAGGCCUUCCUCGGGCGAGGGGAGCUCACCCCCGGGGACCCCUCGCCUUUGCCGCGAGGUGACGGGGGCCUGGCGUGCGAUCGGCCGGCGCGUAGGUCGCCACCACUUACACGUUAGAGCCUCAGAGCGGAGACCCCUGUUGAGGUGUCCCAGCCCGUGGCGACGACCGGCUGCAGGCCUAGGUGGGGAGAUUCCAGAGACUUCUCUCCUGUGGUUCCCACGAUCUCUCCCUGGACGUGGGGCGGGGCUGCCCCGCUGGAUACUGCCCCACGCGGGGGCGACCUCGCGGGCGUGCACGAUCCUUACGCAGAGUCCACGGGCCUCCGAUAUUUAUGUCGUGACGGAGACCUAGUGCCUGGCCCCCUGCCCCAGGGCACAAGUGUGCCCAGCUUCCAGAAACUUCCUCAGCCCAUCCAGGAGGGCAGCCCCAUCCCACUAACAGCUCGCUUGACCACGGGCCGUCUCGUAGGGGCGCGUCUCUAGGAGGCCUCUGCCCAGGACAGUCCACAAGUACUCGCUGAGCCGCCUCCCCCGGGGAGGCUGGGCCUCGUUUUCCAGCGAGGCGGGAGAGGUAGGUCCUUCCUGGAAGGUGGGGCCCCGGAGGCUGCCACUGGGCCAGGUGUGGACGACGGUUAUGGAGGGAGCACCUCGCCGGAGCUUCGGGGGCUGCUGGGGAAUCGGGGUUUCCGUCCUGCUGGCUCUCGCCUUCCUCCUACCUGUGCAGCAGGUGGUCAGUGCUCUGCAGCCGCGGGCCCGGGCGACAAGUGAUCUUAGUUGGACGCCCGUGGCCUCCGAGCGCCCUCAGGCUUUGGGACGUUGAACCCGAGGAGGUGAACAGAGGAGCAGCUGACGCAGGACGACGAUGCGGAGGAGGUGGAGAUCGCUGUGGACAACACGGCCUUCAUGGAUGAGUUCUUCGCCGAGAUCGAGGACACGCGGCUGAACAUCGACAAGAUCUCGGAGCACGUGGACGAGGCCAAGAAGCUGUACAGCGUCAUCCUGUCCGCCCCCAUCCCCGAGCCCAAAACCAAGGACGACCUGGAGCAGCUCACGGCCGAGAUCAAGAAGAGAGCCAACAACGUCCGGAACAAGCUGAAGAGUAUGGAGAGGCACAUCGAGGAGGACGAGGUGCGGUCGUCCGCGGACCUCCGCAUCCGGAAGUCGCAGCACUCGGUCCUGUCCCGGAAGUUCGUGGAGGUGAUGACCCGGUACAACGAGGCCCAGGUGGACUUCCGCGAGCGCAGCAAGGGGAGGAUCCAGCGGCAGCUCGAGAUCACCGGCAAGAAGACCACGGACGAGGAGCUGGAGGAGAUGCUGGAGAGCGGGAACCCCGCCAUCUUCACCUCCGGGAUCAUCGACUCCCAGAUCUCCAAGCAAGCGCUGAGCGAGAUCGAGGGGCGGCACAAGGACAUCGUGCGGCUGGAGAGCAGCAUCAAGGAGCUGCACGACAUGUUCGUGGACAUCGCCAUGCUGGUGGAAAACCAGGGGGCCAUGAUCGACCGCAUCGAGAGCAACAUGGACCAGUCGGUGGGCUUCGUGGAGCGCGCCGUGGCGGACACCAAGAAGGCCGUCAAGUACCAGAGCGAAGCCCGGAGGGGAGCCGGGGAGCGGGGGAGUUGUUACCUGGCGAACCUAGGCUGGCUCACGACUCACGACAGGACCACAGUCAUGCUUUCUGAUCCCCAGUCAGCGGACUGGGUCUGACGGGCGGGCAUGUGCUUCACGGGAGAGACGACAGAAGUCUGAAAUUAGGACUAUUCGAAAACAUAGACCACUUCCUGAAAAAGGAAAAAUCGGGCACUUGACACCUUGGCCUGUUGCUACUUGGGAGACCCCGAGACCGUUGCUUUCUUAUCUGUCCACGUGUGCAACACUUAACGUGACGCAAGAGCCAGCAGAAGCUCCUUAUUUCCGUCUGCUGCCCUUGCUAGCCAGGAAGUCCUUAAGAAAUAUAAAACAUCAUAAUAGAACGUCUUUAUAUAGAGCUAUAGUCCUAUUUGGGUCGCUAAGAGGCUUUCGGCAUAGAGGUGAGAGCGGUCGGGUCUUGGACGAACUGCUUUUUGGUUGUUUGUAACAAUGGUUUGUUUUCUCUUAUCCUCCCCAGAAAUUGAUAAUUAUCAUUGUGGUAGUAGUGGUGUUGCUGGGCAUUUUAGCGUUGAUUAUUGGACUUUCCGUUGGGCUGAAGUAAUGGUGGCCCGAGCGGCUGCUGCACUGAAAUGCCUGCUAACGUUGCCCUCCGCCGCCAUCCUGCGCACUGAUGAGCUCCUCCCUCCCCCGCCUCCCUUAGAGCCUGAUGCACUCCAGCCUGCUGUGGCCACCCUCGUCUUCAGAUGGGAACGGAGUCCGAGGGGCCUUCCUGAGUGGGACCUGUUCCUUUGCUUCCUUGUAACCGUCCUUGGACCUGACCCAGCAAACACUCUGGCCCCGGAGGAAGCUAACCUCCCUGAUGCAACCCCGAGUUCUCCUCACACCUCCUCCUGCCCCGCCAGCUCUCGAGCACCUUCUCUCCCGGACAGUGCGAACCGCCCGGCUCCCCGUCUUCCCUCUGAACGUGUCACGUUACCCCUUGCACCGGGAGAGCUCGCUCACAACCUUCCCGAGGGGCUGUUUUCUACCUCACGGACUGUUCUCUCAGACACUGCAAUGAAUCUCUUCAGGGGUGUGCGAAACAACACAAAGGGGUUCUCCCGAGUGGGGCAACAGUAAGGCUGGACGCGAGCCUUCUACUUGGCAGGUCUCGGCCCCCAGCUUGUUGUCCCUGGGUCUUGCAAAUACGAGGGACUGCAGAUGUCACGUUGGUCUUAGAAGCUGACUUUUGGGAAAUUCGGUCUUAAAUUACCCUUUGAAGAUGUUCGGCUUGGCGGCCAACUUCAGCCUUUACGCUGUGGUUGCUCAUGUCUACUCAGGGAGGCUCCAGGGGACGUGGCGGCCUGGGGUUUCCAUCUGUAAAAGCUGAGGGUAGAGGCCUUGUUUCCCUCGGACUCUUGGAAACUGGCUCUUCUCAUCAGAGUGAUGCUUUGUGAAGCCACUGCCUUGAGGCCGGAAGAACCCAGGCGCUUAAAAUUGGGCCAGGGACGAGGUGCUGGAGCCUCAGGCUCUGGAAACGCUCAGAUUGGUGCGAGUGUUCAGUCACUCAUUUCGUAUAUUCCAGAUGUAUUGUUAUAAUCAUGUGUGUCAGAUGUAUGUUCAUGUUUGCCCGUGUCUCUCAGGAAGUAGGAACUAGAAAUGAAGACUGUUAGAACCUCAAAAAAAAAAAAAAAAAA